Long non-coding RNA from Herpailurus yagouaroundi (jaguarundi), 1194 nucleotides. RefSeq lists it as uncharacterized. Lineage: Eukaryota; Metazoa; Chordata; Mammalia; Carnivora; Felidae. The transcript has 2 exons. The record is from RefSeq and is a predicted model, not a curated record.
ACGCCUGGCGUCUCCUUUGGGACUUGGGGUUCGGGCACCUUUGUGGGACCGUGGUCCCCGCGGCCCGGGCGGGACUGGGGGCGGCGGGGGCGACAGGCGCUGACGUCGCGGCCGCCCCUGGGCUCGGGUCGGCGGUGCGAACUUGUUUUCGCGGUGGGGGUAUUCUGGCCCACUCCUGUCCCACGGGUCCUGGGGCGGCGGGACCGAGGACCUCCUGGUAUCUGUAGGAUCCACUUUGGGGUGCCGAGUUACUGCGUUUUUAGAAACUGUGCUAGCAUCAUCGAUGUUUUGGAAGAUGUUAGCCUAAAUUAGAUUUUUUUUUUUCUUUUUUCCUCUCUGCCUCAUCUUGGGACUGCCCCUGCUUUCUUACGUUAAUGGCAUUAUCUUCUGAAUAUAUUCUCACAGGAUUACAACAGUGGGUGAGGGAGAAACCUAGUAAAGAUGUUUGGUAUUGACAUUGAUUUUAUUGAUAUUUAAUUGAGAAGUUUGCGGUGUUUAAACGCUGGACCGCUGAGUAUUUUACAACUUUAUAUGUUGAAGGUUGAUUGACAUUGAACACUUAGUUGAAAAUUAACCGCUCUGAUAAAAUUACCAGAGGAGGCCUGAUCGUUCUUGAACAUUUUUGAUAAGCAUUUAAAAGAAAAAAGCCUAUAGAUGAUUCAAUAACAUGUUUGGUAGCUUCGAAGACAAAGGAACUGUGUUAAAGAGGAGUGACAUAAAAUUUUUAAUUUGAAUCACAAAAACGACUCCUUGACUCACUAAAUCGAAAAAGAUGAUUGGAAGAAUCUCUUGGAGGUUAUUUCUGAGGGAGUGAAUGCUAUGUUGGUUGACUAUCACUAUUGAGAUUGUUAAAAUAAUUCCGAAGGAAACUAGUAGUUAAAGGACCGGGGUUUGUCUUAGAAAUGCUUUUCUGAACCGCAGUUUCCUAAAUUCUAAAAUUUUUAUCACAGUUCCUUUCUCAAAAAAUGAUAGUUUACUAUUUUUGCUGUUAUUUUUUAAUGUAAUUUCAGCAAUGUCUUCCCGGACUGGAGAGAGCCACAGCGGCGAUAACAAAAUGAGGUGAUCUAGGAAGUUAGAUUAAAAACAGACGUUGAACUUGGCCUGUGGAAACAUCAUCAACAGCUUCUUACCCAGUUGUCACAUUCAGAGUAUGUCUAUCUAGUACAGAAAGAGAAAAACACAGGCAAGCACAAA